AGUGGGAUAGCUGGGUCAAAUGGUCGUUCCAUUCCAAGCGUUCUGAGGAAUCUCCAAACUGCUUUCCAGAGUAAUGGCACCAAUUUGCAGUCCCACCAGCCAU
This 103-nucleotide microRNA precursor is filed under the name Marmota monax (woodchuck). Lineage: Eukaryota; Metazoa; Chordata; Mammalia; Rodentia; Sciuridae. The record is from RNAcentral.